CACGGGACUCAGCAGUGAUAAAA
This 23-nucleotide non-coding RNA is filed under the name Cricetulus griseus (Chinese hamster). Lineage: Eukaryota; Metazoa; Chordata; Mammalia; Rodentia; Cricetidae. The record is from RNAcentral.